AGUCUAUGAUGAUAAAGUUUUAGGCUUGUUUCUCAAAACAUUCGCAGUGGCCGCCUGAGAGCUUUCGCCUUCGCCAGGCUUGAGAGCUUCUGCUGUUUUAUCCUUCCUUGGAUGUUUGAGACU
Non-coding RNA from Cucumis melo (muskmelon), 123 nucleotides. Lineage: Eukaryota; Viridiplantae; Streptophyta; Magnoliopsida; Cucurbitales; Cucurbitaceae. The record is from Rfam.